UUUACGGAGAGUUUGAUCCUGGCUCAGGACGAACGCUGGCGGCGUGCUUAACACAUGCAAGUCGAACGAUGAUCUGGAGCUUGCUCUGGUGAUUAGUGGCGAACGGGUGAGUAACACGUGAGUAACCUGCCCUCCACUCUGGGAUAAGCACUGGAAACGGUGUCUAAUACCGGAUAUGAGCUUCCGCCGCAUGGUGAGGAGCUGGAAAGAAUUUUGGUGGGGGAUGGACUCGCGGCCUAUCAGGUAGUUGGUGAGGUAAUGGCUCACCAAGCCGACGACGGGUAGCCGGCCUGAGAGGGUGACCGGCCACACUGGGACUGAGACACGGCCCAGACUCCUACGGGAGGCAGCAG
RNAcentral lists this ribosomal RNA (353 nucleotides) under Microbacteriaceae bacterium. RNAcentral describes it as "bacterial SSU rRNA". It matches the Rfam family "Bacterial small subunit ribosomal RNA", at positions 1 to 354 of the family's 1533-position model. Lineage: Bacteria; Bacillati; Actinomycetota; Actinomycetes; Micrococcales; Microbacteriaceae. The record is from RNAcentral.